GAUGGUCAGUGACAAGCCUGUGUGCAAAGCCUGCUACAUGAAGAACCAUGCUGUGGUGUGUCAAGGAUGCCACAGUGUCAUCGACCCGGAAGUGCAGAGAGUAACAUACAACAACUUGAGCUGGCAUGCAUCCACCCAGUGCUUCCUAUGCUCUUGCUGCAGAAAGUGUCUUUUUGGGGAGACAUUCUUGACUGUAAAGGGAAUGACUUUCUGUUCCAUAGAGUGUAAGAAUAUGAUGUGCUAAGAGCAGAACAAGAGCACCAAGCAGUAUGGAGUUAUAGCGGUCUACAGUGGCCUGCGUUUCAUGAUAAAGUGCAAUUAGAAAAAAAUAAAAGAAAAAAAGCUACAUAGUGAACAAAAA
Molecule: long non-coding RNA, 361 nt
Filed under: Rattus norvegicus (Norway rat)
Lineage: Eukaryota; Metazoa; Chordata; Mammalia; Rodentia; Muridae
Description: long non-coding RNA NONRATT030747
Source: RNAcentral